GCAGGUGAAAGCAACGUUAAGCGAUGAACGUUGUGCUCCAUAAUUGUAGUUUUUCUCACAUUGAAUCUUUAUAUAAAUUGCCCAUUCCUGUGCCGAUGUUAUUUUUUAAUGUCGGCUUUU
This 120-nucleotide small RNA is filed under the name Photorhabdus asymbiotica. RNAcentral describes it as "Fumarate/nitrate reductase regulator sRNA". It matches the Rfam family "Fumarate/nitrate reductase regulator sRNA". The record is from RNAcentral. Lineage: Bacteria; Pseudomonadati; Pseudomonadota; Gammaproteobacteria; Enterobacterales; Morganellaceae.